ACGAACGCUGGCGGCGCGUCUUAACCAUGCAAGUCGAGCGGCAGGCAGCAAUGCCGAGAGCGGCGGACUGGUGAGUAACACGUGGAUAACGUACCCCGAUGUCCGGGACAGCCUGUAGAAAUAGAGGGUAAUACCGGAUAGAUCACUGUUUACGUGAGGUAGACAGCGGGAAAGGAGCUUCGGCUCCGCGACGGGAUCGGUCUGCGGCCCAUCAGCUGGACGGCGGGGUAAAGGCCCGCCGUGGCGAGGACGGGUAUCCGGCCUGAGAGGGCGGACGGACACAUUGGGACUGAGAUACGGCCCAGACUCCUACGGGAGGCAGCAGGUAAGAAUAUUCCGCAAUGGGGGGGAACCCUGACGGAGCGACGCCGCGUGAACGAAGAAGGCCGGAAGGUUGUAAAGUUCUUUUCUGUCCGAGGAAUAAGUUUCGGAGGAAAUGCCGGGACGGUGACGGUAGGGCAGGAAUAAGCACCGGCUAAUUACGUG
RNAcentral lists this ribosomal RNA (486 nucleotides) under uncultured bacterium. Its description in RNAcentral is "partial 16S ribosomal RNA". It matches the Rfam family "Bacterial small subunit ribosomal RNA", at positions 29 to 507 of the family's 1533-position model. The record is from RNAcentral.